This 306-nucleotide unclassified non-coding RNA is filed under the name plant metagenome. Its description in RNAcentral is "partial contains 5.8S ribosomal RNA, internal transcribed spacer 2, and large subunit ribosomal RNA". The stretch from base 1 to 105 matches the Rfam family "5.8S ribosomal RNA", at positions 50 to 154 of the family's 154-position model. The record is from RNAcentral.
GAAAUGCGAUAAGUAAUGUGAAUUGCAGAAUUCAGUGAAUCAUCGAAUCUUUGAACGCACAUUGCGCCCGCCAGUAUUCUGGCGGGCAUGCCUGUCCGAGCGUCAUUUCAACCAUCAAGCCCCCGGGCUUGUGUUGGGGACCUGCGGCUGCCCGCAGGCCCUGAAAACCAGUGGCGGGCUCGCUGUCACACCGAGCGUAGUAGCAAUCACCUCGCUCAGGGCGUGCUGCGGGUUCCGGCCGUUAAACAGCCUUACAAAACCCAAGGUUGACAUCGGAUCAGGUAGGAAGACCCGCUGAACUUAAGC